GUUGGUAUAGCUCAGUAGUAGAGCGUGUGCUUAGCAUGCAUGAGGUCCUGGGUUCAAUCCCCAGUCCCUUCA
Molecule: transfer RNA, 72 nt
Filed under: Camelus bactrianus (Bactrian camel)
Lineage: Eukaryota; Metazoa; Chordata; Mammalia; Artiodactyla; Camelidae
Also listed under: 2 other names
Rfam family: tRNA
About the family: Transfer RNA (tRNA) molecules are approximately 80 nucleotides in length. Their secondary structure includes four short double-helical elements and three loops (D, anti-codon, and T loops).
Source: Rfam by way of RNAcentral